AUGUACAACUAUACAACUUCAGGUAUUUGGAGCUAUUUUAUGAAAAGCAACCUAUUCUGCUUAUCUAUAUCAUUCAUGUUUUUUAUGCAUUUCAGUUCUUUUCAUCCUCAUUCUUUACCCUUUUGUCAUAGAGCUGUGUUUCUUUGUGGUUUUAAAAUAAAAUGGGUCCCUGUUUGUCUUGAGGUAAGGAAGAAAGCAGUUAGCCUGGGAGGAGGAGGCAGCCAUAUUGUAGCAGUGGACAGACGAGAAAGAAGGAGAGACUGGACUUGGCUCCUCUCCGAGCGGCUGAGUCUGGCUGUGUUUCAGUCACAUCUCCCCUGGACUCUUCAGUUACAGAAGGCGAAAAUUUCACUCAGCAGCAUUCAGACAACAAGGGCAACAACAGCAGACUUUUUUUGGGCUUUCUGUAAAAUUGGUUCCACUCUUCUGGUUUUCUUACGUUGAGUCUGUAUUGGGUUUUUAUAUAAGGAAUAGAACCAUUUUUCCUGGUGUAUUUUGUAUGAAGUCUAGCACUUUAUCAACUUUUUCCCCCCUGCAGUUAUAGCUGAAAAUUAUCUUUUUUAAAAAUGAUUUAUUUAUUUAUUUGAAAUGGGGAGUUACUGAGCGAGACAGAGACAGAGAGAGAGAAAGAACUCUUCCAUCUGCUGGUUUAGUCUUCAAAUGGCUACAACAGCCAGGCUGCGCCAGGCUGAAGCCAGGAGCCAGGGCUUCUUCUGGGACUCCUAUGUGGCUGCAUGGGCCCAGGGAUUUGACCCAUUUUCCUUUGCUUUCCCAUACUCAUUAGCAGGGAGCGGGAUUGGGAGUGGGGCAGCCAGGACUCCAAUUAGUGCCUACAAGGGAUGCUGGAGUACUACAGACUGUAGCUUAACCCACUAUGCUACAGUAUUGGCUAAAAGUUAUCUUUUAAAAAUAGUUUACAGUGGGGCUGGCACUGUGGAGUAAGGAGUAAAGCCACUGCCUCAAGUGUUGCUAGUUUGAGUUCAAGUAGGAGACCCAGAAGAAGUUCCUGGCUCCUGGCUUCGGACAAGCACAAUUCUAGCCUUCAUGGCCAUUUGGGGAGUGAACUAGCAGAUGAAAAGCCUUUCUCAUUCUCUCUCUCUCUCUCUCUCUGCAACUCUGCCUUUCAAAUAAAUAAAUACAUCUUAAAAUAAAUUUAGUGAUU
Molecule: long non-coding RNA, 1162 nt
Filed under: Oryctolagus cuniculus (rabbit)
Lineage: Eukaryota; Metazoa; Chordata; Mammalia; Lagomorpha; Leporidae
Description: lncRNA (ENSOCUG00000032884.1)
Source: RNAcentral